GACGAACGCUGGCGGCGUGCUUAACACAUGCAAGUCGAACGAUGAAGCGGUGCUUGCACCGUGGAUUAGUGGCGAACGGGUGAGUAAUACGUGAGUGACCUACCUUUGACUCUGGGAUAAGCCUGGGAAACUGGGUCUAAUACCGGAUACGACCAAUCUCUGCAUGAGGUGUUGGUGGAAAGCGUUAUGGAGUGGUUUUA
RNAcentral lists this ribosomal RNA (200 nucleotides) under uncultured bacterium. RNAcentral's name for it is "partial 16S ribosomal RNA". It matches the Rfam family "Bacterial small subunit ribosomal RNA", at positions 28 to 223 of the family's 1533-position model. The record is from RNAcentral.